Non-coding RNA from Triticum urartu, 626 nucleotides. The record is from RefSeq and is a predicted model, not a curated record. NCBI's taxonomy places the organism in Eukaryota, Viridiplantae, Streptophyta, Magnoliopsida, Poales, Poaceae.
CCUCGGCCACUCGCCGUCCCGACCUCUCCACUCGCCUCCUCUGGCCAGCCAACCAUAGUGGCAUCGUUCCUCUGACACGCGGAGGGGCUCUCCUCUCCCACCGGUCGGCGCUUCGACUUCGACUCCUACAACCGCCCCUGUUUGCUCCCCACGCUCGUCCGCUCCGGAUCCAGAUCCACGGCCCCAUUCGCCAUUGCUUGCUUCUAGGGAGGGAUGUUGAACGGACAGAUUGAGGCCGUGCCGCCGUUCAGGACAGGCUGCUGGUGCUGGCCGUGGACGGGCUGCCGGUGGCAGCGCCGCUCAACGGCCGUCGCUGCUGUCCACUCGGCUCGGACAACUACACCGUUAUCCAGAUGACCUUAGCCCGCCCCGCCUCCACCUCCGCACUGGCCAUGACGCCGUGACGCCCCAGCCGCCUAGAUUUGCUUAAGAUCACGGAAGCUUGGGUUGAUGGAGUGCUUGUAUUUAGUUUUUGUUUUGACCUUGUGAAACUUGCUACCUAUGGAUGAAACUGUGUAAUAUUAAUGAAACUAUGUAUAUAUACGGAUGAAACUUGCUACUAUUGGUAACAUGUGUUGGAUAUAUAUAUGUGUUCAUGACUAUUGGUAAUAUGUGUUGAAUAUGCU